This 348-nucleotide RNase P RNA is filed under the name Gammaproteobacteria bacterium. Its description in RNAcentral is "RNase P RNA component class A". It matches the Rfam family "Bacterial RNase P class A". From Rfam's summary of the family: Ribonuclease P (RNase P) is a ubiquitous endoribonuclease, found in archaea, bacteria and eukarya as well as chloroplasts and mitochondria. Its best characterised activity is the generation of mature 5'-ends of tRNAs by cleaving the 5'-leader elements of precursor-tRNAs. The record is from RNAcentral. Lineage: Bacteria; Pseudomonadati; Pseudomonadota; Gammaproteobacteria.
GAAGCCGGCCGGACAGCCGCUGCGGCUCAGUGCCGUGGAGGAAAGUCCGGGCUCCACAGGGCAGGGUGCCAGGUAACGCCUGGGGGGCGCGAGCCCACGGAAAGUGCCACAGAAAACACACCGCCGAUGGCCUCCGGGCACAGGCAAGGGUGAAAAGGUGCGGUAAGAGCGCACCGCGCCCCUGGCAACAGGGGUGGCAGGGUAAACCCCACCCGGAGCAAGACCAAAUAGGGGAACACAGGCGCGGCCCGCGCCGUUCCCGGGUAGGUCGCUCGAGGUGCGCGGCGACGCGCAUCCCAGAUGAAUGGCUGUCCACGACAGAACCCGGCUUAUAGGCCGGCUUCACCU